CAGACUCCUACGGGAGGCAGCAGUGGGGAAUUUUGGACAAUGGGGGCAACCCUGAUCCAGCCAUCCCGCGUGUUCGAUGAAGGCCUUCGGGUUGUAAAGCACUUUUGGCAGGGAAGAAACAGCCUGGGAUAAUACCCUGGGCGACUGACGGUACCUGCAGAAUAAGCACCGGCUAACUACGUGCCAGCAGCCUCGGUAAUACGUAGGGUGCAAGCGUUAAUCGGAAUUACUGGGCGUAAAGCGUGCGCAGGCGGUUCGGAAAGAAAGGUGUGAAAUCCCAGGGCUUAACCUUGGAACUGCACUUUUAACUACCGAGCUAGAGUACGUCAGAGGGGGGUAGAAUUCCACGUGUAGCAGUGAAAUGCGUA
This 368-nucleotide ribosomal RNA is filed under the name Alcaligenes sp. N1. RNAcentral describes it as "bacterial SSU rRNA". It matches the Rfam family "Bacterial small subunit ribosomal RNA", at positions 332 to 692 of the family's 1533-position model. Lineage: Bacteria; Pseudomonadati; Pseudomonadota; Betaproteobacteria; Burkholderiales; Alcaligenaceae. The record is from RNAcentral.